This 463-nucleotide ribosomal RNA is filed under the name uncultured bacterium. Its description in RNAcentral is "bacterial SSU rRNA". It matches the Rfam family "Bacterial small subunit ribosomal RNA", at positions 46 to 507 of the family's 1533-position model. The record is from RNAcentral.
GCCUAACACAUGCAAGUCAACUUGACUGAAGGAGCAGUCUGACAGUAGGAGUGGCGCGAAGGGUGCGUAACGCGUAAGUAACUUGCCCAAGGUAAGGAAUAACGUCGAGAAAUCGGCGCUAAUACCUCAUAAUGCAGCGGAUCCGCAUGGAUAUGUUGUUAAAGGUUUACCGCCUUGGGAUAGGCUUGCGUCUGAUUAGCUAGUUGGUGUGGUAACGGCACACCAAGGCUACGAUCAGUAACUGGUCUGAGAGGAUGAUCAGUCACACUGGAACUGAGACACGGUCCAGACUCCUACGGGAGGCAGCAGUGAGGAAUAUUGGGCAAUGCUCGAAAGAGUGACCCAGCAACGCCGCGUGGAGGAUGAAGGUAUUCUAUAUCGUAAACUCCUGUGAGAGCAGACGAAAGACAGAUUAUUAAUCUGGAUGACUGUAUGCUCAGAGGAAGCCCCGGCUAACUACGUG